RNAcentral lists this ribosomal RNA (259 nucleotides) under uncultured prokaryote. Its description in RNAcentral is "partial 16S ribosomal RNA". It matches the Rfam family "Bacterial small subunit ribosomal RNA", at positions 524 to 782 of the family's 1533-position model. The record is from RNAcentral.
UACGUAGGGGACGAGCGUUGUCCGGAAUUACUGGGCGUAAAGGGCGCGCAGGCUGUUAUGCGAGUCUGCUGUGAAAUGUACCGGCUCAACCGGUGCCUUGCGGCGGAUACUGCAUAGCUGGAGUACUGGAGAGGGAAGUGGAAUUCCCGGUGUAGCGGUGAAAUGCGCAGAUAUCAGGAGGAACACCGGUGGCGAAGGCGGGACUCUGGGCUGUAACUGACGCUGAGGCGCGAAAGCGUGGGUAGCGAACAGGAUUAGA